AACAGGUGGAGCCUGCGGUUUAAUCGGACUCAACGCCGGGAAACUCACCAGAUAAGACAGCUGAAUGAUAGUCGGGCUGAAGACUCUACUUGACUAGCUGAGAGGAGGUGCAUGGCCGUCGUCAGUUCGUACUGUGAAGCAUCCUGUUAAGUCAGGCAACGAGCGAGACCCACGCCAACAGUUGCCAGAUCGUCCUCCGGGAUGGAGGGGACACUGUUGGGACCGCCUCUGCUAAAGAGGAGGAAGGAAUGGGCAACGGUAGGUCAGCAUGCCCCGAAUUAUCUGGGCUACACGCGGGCUACAAUGGGUGGGACAAUGGGUAUCGACACCGAAAGGUGAAGGCAAUCUCCUAAACCCAUCCUUAGUUCGGAUUGUGGGCUGCAACUCGCCCACAUGAAGCUGGAAUCUGUAGUAAUCGUGUUUCAAAAUAGCACGGUGAAUAUGUCCCUGCUCCUU
This 456-nucleotide ribosomal RNA is filed under the name uncultured Methanomicrobiales archaeon. Its description in RNAcentral is "bacterial SSU rRNA". It matches the Rfam family "Archaeal small subunit ribosomal RNA", at positions 883 to 1338 of the family's 1478-position model. The record is from RNAcentral. Lineage: Archaea; Methanobacteriati; Methanobacteriota; Methanomicrobia; Methanomicrobiales.